AAAGAUGAAUCAAAGAAGGUAAUAAUCCUGUAGUCGAAAAUGUUGUCUCUCUUGAGUGGAUCCUGAGUACGACGGAGCACGUGAAAUUCCGUCGGAAUCUGGGAGGACCAUCUCCUAAGGCUAAAUACUCUCUAGUGACCGAUAGUGAACCAGUACCGUGAGGGAAAGGUGAAAAGCACCCCGGAAGGGGAGUGAAAUAGAACCUGAAACCGUGUGCUUACAAGUAGUCAGAGCCCGUUAAUGGGUGAUGGCGUGCCUUUUGUAGAAUGAACCGGCGAGUUACGAUUUGAUGCAAGGUUAAGCAGUAAAUGUGGAGCCGUAGCGAAAGCGAGUCUGAAUAGGGCGUUUAGUAUUUGGUCGUAGACCCGAAACCAGGUGAUCUACCCUUGGUCAGGUUGAAGUUCAGGUAACACUGAAUGGAGGACCGAACCGACUUACGUUGAAAAGUGAGCGGAUGAACUGAGGGUAGCGGAGAAAUUCCAAUCGAACCUGGAGAUAGCUGGUUCUCUCCGAAAUAGCUUUAGGGCUAGCCUCAAGUGAUGAUUAUUGGAGGUAGAGCACUGUUUGGACGAGGGGCCCCUCUCGGGUUACCGAAUUCAGACAAACUCCGAAUGCCAAUUAAUUUAACUUGGGAGUCAGAACAUGGGUGAUAAGGUCCGUGUUCGAAAGGGAAACAGCCCAGACCACCAGCUAAGGUCCCAAAAUAUAUGUUAAGUGGAAAAGGAUGUGGCGUUGCCCAGACAACUAGGAUGUUGGCUUAGAAGCAGCCAUCAUUUAAAGAGUGCGUAAUAGCUCACUAGUCGAGUGACACUGCGCCGAAAAUGUACCGGGGCUAAACAUAUUACCGAAGCUGUGGAUUGUCCUUUGGACAAUGGUAGGAGAGCGUUCUAAGGGCGUUGAAGCAUGAUCGUAAGGACAUGUGGAGCGCUUAGAAGUGAGAAUGCCGGUGUGAGUAGCGAAAGACGGGUGAGAAUCCCGUCCACCGAUUGACUAAGGUUUCCAGAGGAAGGCUCGUCCGCUCUGGGUUAGUCGGGUCCUAAGCUGAGGCCGACAGGCGUAGGCGAUGGAUAACAGGUUGAUAUUCCUGUACCACCUAUAAUCGUUUUAAUCGAUGGGGGGACGCAGUAGGAUAGGCGAAGCGUGCGAUUGGAUUGCACGUCUAAGCAGUAAGGCUGAGUAUUAGGCAAAUCCGGUACUCGUUAAGGCUGAGCUGUGAUGGGGAGAAGACAUUGUGUCUUCGAGUCGUUGAUUUCACACUGCCGAGAAAAGCCUCUAGAUAGAAAAUAGGUGCCCGUACCGCAAACCGACACAGGUAGUCAAGAUGAGAAUUCUAAGGUGAGCGAGCGAACUCUCGUUAAGGAACUCGGCAAAAUGACCCCGUAACUUCGGGAGAAGGGGUGCUCUUUAGGGUUAACGCCCAGAAGAGCCGCAGUGAAUAGGCCCAAGCGACUGUUUAUCAAAAACACAGGUCUCUGCUAAACCGUAAGGUGAUGUAUAGGGGCUGACGCCUGCCCGGUGCUGGAAGGUUAAGAGGAGUGGUUAGCUUCUGCGAAGCUACGAAUCGAAGCCCCAGUAAACGGCGGCCGUAACUAUAACGGUCCUAAGGUAGCGAAAUUCCUUGUCGGGUAAGUUCCGACCCGCACGAAAGGCGUAACGAUUUGGGCACUGUCUCAACGAGAGACUCGGUGAAAUCAUAGUACCUGUGAAGAUGCAGGUUACCCGCGACAGGACGGAAAGACCCCGUGGAGCUUUACUGUAGCCUGAUAUUGAAAUUCGGCACAGCUUGUACAGGAUAGGUAGGAGCCUUUGAAACGUGAGCGCUAGCUUACGUGGAGGCGCUGGUGGG
RNAcentral lists this ribosomal RNA (1846 nucleotides) under Staphylococcus aureus. Its description in RNAcentral is "partial 23S ribosomal RNA". It matches the Rfam family "Bacterial large subunit ribosomal RNA", at positions 346 to 2196 of the family's 2925-position model. The record is from RNAcentral. Lineage: Bacteria; Bacillati; Bacillota; Bacilli; Caryophanales; Staphylococcaceae.